Molecule: ribosomal RNA, 496 nt
Filed under: uncultured bacterium
Lineage: Bacteria
Description: partial 16S ribosomal RNA
Rfam family: Bacterial small subunit ribosomal RNA
Source: RNAcentral
GAUGAACGCUGGCGGCGUGCCUAAUACAUGCAAGUCGAGCGAACGGACGAGAAGCUUGCUUCUCUGAUGUUAUCGGCGGACGGGUGAGUAACACGUGGAUAACCUACCUAUAAGACUGGGAUAACUUCGGGAAACCGGAGCUAAUACCGGAUAAUAUUUUGAACCGCAUGGUUCAAAAGUGAAAGACGGUCUUGCUGUCACUUAUAGAUGGAUCCGCGCUGCAUUAGCUAGUUGGUAAGGUAACGGCUUACCAAGGCAACGAUGCAUAGCCGACCUGAGAGGGUGAUCGGCCACACUGGAACUGAGACACGGUCCAGACUCCUACGGGAGGCAGCAGUAGGGAAUCUUCCGCAAUGGGCGAAAGCCUGACGGAGCAACGCCGCGUGAGUGAUGAAGGUCUUCGGAUCGUAAAACUCUGUUAUUAGGGAAGAACAUAUGUGUAAGUAACUGUGCACAUCUUGACGGUACCUAAUCAGAAAGCCACGGCUAACUACGU